CUGAUUGGAUGAGGAACACCCAGACUGGGAGGGCAAUCACCUUACUCAGUCUACUGAUUCAAUGUUAAUUUCAUUGAAAAUGCCCUUAUGGACACACUCAUAUAAUGUUUGACCAAAUAUGUGGGCACCCAUGGCCCAGACAAGUUGAUUUGUACGACAGACUAUCACAGCGCCCAUGCUCAAGUCAAUGAGCCACACAGAGGCUGAGCUCUUUUUCCCAUCUCCUUCUAGGACAAGAAUUGUUGAAGCCGGGGUCAGGAUGGGGGAUGCUGAAGUGCUCAUACACUCUAAACCAGAGGCUUCCUAGAGCCUAAGGGGUAGCUGAGAAGACAGCCAGAAACACAGCUGCACGGCACUGACAGAGAACUCGCAGAGUAAAAAGGAACCCACAAUAAACGAGCUGCUUUGCGCCAUGUUCACAAUUUCCUUGCAGGGUGGGAGCAGAGAUGGUCCGAGUAAACUGACCCAUUUGGAAGCCCACUUGGAAACUGG
Molecule: long non-coding RNA, 492 nt
Filed under: Homo sapiens (human)
Lineage: Eukaryota; Metazoa; Chordata; Mammalia; Primates; Hominidae
Description: HSALNT0158485
Source: RNAcentral